GAGGUUUGGCACCUCGAUGUCGGCUCAUCGCAUCCUGGGGGUGGAGAAGCUCCCAAGGGUUCGGCUGUUCGCCGAUUAAAGCGGUACGUGAGCUGGGUUUAGACCGUCGUGAGACAGGUCGGUCCCUAUCUGCUGCGGGCGCAGGAGACUUGAGGGGAGCUCUCCCUAGUACGAGAGGAUUGGGAGGGACGCACCUCUGGUGUGCCUGUUGUCGCGCUAGCGGCACAGCAGGGUAGCCACGUGCGGCAGGGAUAAACGCUGAAAGCAUCUAAGCGUGAAGCCCACCCCAAGAUGAGGUCUCCUUGGGCGUAAGCCCUGAAGGCCCCUCGUAGACUACGAGGUGGAUAGGCCGGGUGUGUAAGCGCAGCAAUGCGCUCAGCUAACCGGUACUAAUGGCCGAUCGCUUGGCCGC
Molecule: ribosomal RNA, 412 nt
Filed under: Candidatus Caldarchaeum sp.
Lineage: Archaea; Thermoproteati; Nitrososphaerota; Candidatus Caldarchaeales; Candidatus Caldarchaeaceae
Description: partial 23S ribosomal RNA
Rfam family: Bacterial large subunit ribosomal RNA
Source: RNAcentral